GAUGAACGCUGGCGGCGUGCUUAACACAUGCAAGUCGAACGAAGCACUUUUACAGAUUUCUUCGGAAUGAAGUUUUAGUGACUGAGUGGCGGACGGGUGAGUAACGCGUGGGUAACCUGCCUCACACAGGGGGAUAACAGUUGGAAACGGCUGCUAAUACCGCAUAAGCGCACAGUACUGCAUGGUACGGUGUGAAAAACUCCGGUGGUGUGAGAUGGACCCGCGUCUGAUUAGCUAGUUGGCAGGGCAACGGCCUACCAAGGCGACGAUCAGUAGCCGACCUGAGAGGGUGACCGGCCACAUUGGGACUGAGACGCGGCCCAAACUCCUACGGGAGGCAGCAGUGGGGAAUAUUGCACAAUGGGGGAAACCCUGAUGCAGCGACGCCGCGUGAGCGAAGAAGUAUUUCGGUAUGUAAAGCUCUAUCAGCAGGGAAGAAGAAAUGACGGUACCUGACUAAGAAGCACCGGCUAAAUACGUGCCAGCCGCCGCAGUAA
Molecule: ribosomal RNA, 497 nt
Filed under: uncultured bacterium
Lineage: Bacteria
Description: partial 16S ribosomal RNA
Rfam family: Bacterial small subunit ribosomal RNA
Source: RNAcentral